This 433-nucleotide ribosomal RNA is filed under the name uncultured bacterium. Its description in RNAcentral is "partial 16S ribosomal RNA". It matches the Rfam family "Bacterial small subunit ribosomal RNA", at positions 29 to 507 of the family's 1533-position model. The record is from RNAcentral.
AACGAACGCUGGCGGCAUGCCUAACACAUGCAAGUCGAACGAGACCUUCGGGUCUAGUGGCGCACGGGUUCGUAACGCGUGGGAACCUGCCCUUAGGUUCGGAAUAACUCCCCGAAAGGGGUGCUAAUACCGGAUAAUGUCUUCGGACCAAAGAUUUAUCGCCUUUGGAUGGUCCCGCGUUGGAUUAGCUAGUUGGUAGGGUAAAAGCCUACCAAGGCGACGAUCCAUAGCUGGUCUGAGAGGAUGAUCAGCCACACUGGGACUGAGACACGGCCCAGACUCCUACGGGAGGCAGCAGUGGGGAAUAUUGGAAAAUGGGCGAAAGCCUGAUCCAGCAAGGCCGCGUGAGUGAUGAAGGCCUUAGGGUUGUAAAGCUCUUUUACCCGGGAUGAUAAUGACAGUACCGGGAGAAUAAGCUACGGCUAACUCCGUG